Molecule: non-coding RNA, 23 nt
Filed under: Cricetulus griseus (Chinese hamster)
Lineage: Eukaryota; Metazoa; Chordata; Mammalia; Rodentia; Cricetidae
Source: RNAcentral
UCAACGAGGAGGAUAGAGAGACA